CCGGCGGUAGCUCAGCGGUAGAGCACCCGAUUGUUAAUCGGGUGGUCGCUGGUUCGAAUCCAGCUCGUCGCGCUA
This 75-nucleotide transfer RNA is filed under the name Nevskiaceae bacterium. Its description in RNAcentral is "Sinobacteraceae bacterium tRNA-Asn". It matches the Rfam family "tRNA". Rfam says of the family: Transfer RNA (tRNA) molecules are approximately 80 nucleotides in length. Their secondary structure includes four short double-helical elements and three loops (D, anti-codon, and T loops). RNAcentral also lists the same sequence under 1 other name. The record is from RNAcentral. Lineage: Bacteria; Pseudomonadati; Pseudomonadota; Gammaproteobacteria; Nevskiales; Nevskiaceae.